This 896-nucleotide long non-coding RNA is filed under the name Vigna radiata. Its description in RNAcentral is "long non-coding RNA (VRAD_LNC008223)". The record is from RNAcentral. Lineage: Eukaryota; Viridiplantae; Streptophyta; Magnoliopsida; Fabales; Fabaceae.
AAAGGGAAAAAUAAAGUUUUAAAUAAAGCAGACACUAUAAUGAUAACGAUCGAACGAUUGCACGAGAAUAAUGACAAUAACUGAACAAGUGAAUGAGAACAAUGUUAAUCAAAGAAGGAGUGAACGAGGAAGAAGAAGGAGAACAAAUGAAUGAAAACGAAGGAGAAUGAAAACGAGAAAAAAAUAAUAGAAAUGAUCGAACGAGUGCACGAAAACAAUGGCAAGCACGGAACGAGUGAACGAGAGCAAUGGCAAUCAUGGAACGAUUGAACGAGAACUAUGUCAGCCAGAGAACGAGUAAACGACGAUGAAAAAGAAGGAAAACGAAUGAAGGAAAACAAAGGAAAACAAGAAAAAAAUGACAUAAUAGAGUGAAGCGAGAAAGUAAAAAUUGAAUAGAAUAAAGACCGUUAGAACCAAUAUGAAAAAAUAAUCUACACUCGUUCUAAGUUUAAGAAGUAUAGAAAAAAUUAAUUUCUAUAUCUAUAUUGCAACCCAUGUAGAAAUAUUUGUAUUGUAUUAAAAUUUUGUCGCCACACCACUUUCUUUACCUGUUAUCAGUACGACUAGUAUAAAAUAUUUCUCAUAUUUACAAAACGGCAACCAUGCCAUUUGCUAUACCUAGUAAAUUUCAACAUAUAUAUAUAUAUAUAAAAUUGCUAUAAAAAAUAAAUUUUCCGCUAGCUGUAGAAUCAUAGAUAUAUAUUACUUUAUAAAUAAUCAAACAAAAUUAAGUGUUGUAAACAUACUUGUUGGUGAUAGCAAACAAUAAAUCUCCCCUUGACACUCUGAAAUAAGAAUGGUUUAGCCAAGAACUUGAGAAAGAGACAGUUAGAAAUNGUUGCCUUUCACUAUGGUGUGAUUCUUGCUUUUCCAAGUACAAUGACUGCAGCCCA